This 705-nucleotide ribosomal RNA is filed under the name uncultured Filimonas sp. Its description in RNAcentral is "bacterial SSU rRNA". It matches the Rfam family "Bacterial small subunit ribosomal RNA", at positions 95 to 798 of the family's 1533-position model. The record is from RNAcentral. Lineage: Bacteria; Pseudomonadati; Bacteroidota; Chitinophagia; Chitinophagales; Chitinophagaceae.
CCGGCAAACGGGUGCGGAACACGUACACAACCUUCCUAUAAGUGGGGAAUAGCCCAGAGAAAUUUGGAUUAAUACCCCGUAACAUAACGAUGUGGCAUCACAUUGUUAUUAUAGCUUCGGCGCUUAUUGAUGGGUGUGCGGCUGAUUAGAUAGUUGGCGGGGUAACGGCCCACCAAGUCUACGAUCAGUAGCUGAUGUGAGAGCAUGAUCAGCCACACGGGCACUGAGACACGGGCCCGACUCCUACGGGAGGCAGCAGUAAGGAAUAUUGGUCAAUGGACGCAAGUCUGAACCAGCCAUGCCGCGUGAAGGAUUAAGGUCCUCUGGAUUGUAAACUUCUUUUAUCUGGGACGAAAAAAGGCUUUUCUAAGUCACUUGACGGUACCAGAUGAAUAAGCACCGGCUAACUCCGUGCCAGCAGCCGCGGUAAUACGGAGGGUGCAAGCGUUAUCCGGAUUCACUGGGUCUAAAGGGUGCGUAGGCGGGCAGGUAAGUCAGUGGUGAAAUCCUGGAGCUUAACUCCAGAACUGCCAUUGAUACUAUCUGUCUUGAAUAUUGUGGAGGUAAGCGGAAUAUGUCAUGUAGCGGUGAAAUGCUUAGAUAUGACAUAGAACACCUAUUGCGAAGGCAGCUUACUACGCAUAUAUUGACGCUGAGGCACGAAAGCGUGGGGAUCAAACAGGAUUAGAUACCCUGGUAGUCCAC